AGAUAAUGACAAUAUUGAAGAGAUAGAGGUGGAAGUGGCAGAGCCUGCAAAUGAAGAUGUACCAAACAUCGUCAUGGCAGUGCGCCCAUCAUUCCAACAACCACAAAUGCCAGGCGAGAAAGACGAUAGAUGGUUUGUGUGCCUGGGCAGCAGAGGAGAAGCAGGAGAGAUAAUAAAUAUUCUUUUGCCAUGUGAUCAUGGGUGGUGCUGCGAUACGUGUGGCCGACGGCUGGAGGAAUGUCCAAUU
Adelges cooleyi (spruce gall adelgid) is the source of this 247-nucleotide long non-coding RNA. RefSeq lists it as uncharacterized. Lineage: Eukaryota; Metazoa; Arthropoda; Insecta; Hemiptera; Adelgidae. The transcript is spliced from 3 exons. The record is from RefSeq and is a predicted model, not a curated record.